RNAcentral lists this ribosomal RNA (63 nucleotides) under Fusarium verticillioides. RNAcentral's name for it is "partial 28S ribosomal RNA". Lineage: Eukaryota; Fungi; Ascomycota; Sordariomycetes; Hypocreales; Nectriaceae. The record is from RNAcentral.
UUGACCUCGGAUCACGUAGGAAUACCCGCUGAACUUAAGCAUAUCAUACGCGGGAAGGAACAA